RNAcentral lists this ribosomal RNA (438 nucleotides) under Theileria annulata. Its description in RNAcentral is "SSU rRNA". It matches the Rfam family "Eukaryotic small subunit ribosomal RNA", at positions 543 to 1018 of the family's 1831-position model. Lineage: Eukaryota; Apicomplexa; Aconoidasida; Piroplasmida; Theileriidae. The record is from RNAcentral.
AUCAAUUGGAGGGCAAGUCUGGUGCCAGCAGCCGCGGUAAUUCCAGCUCCAAUAGCGUAUAUUAAAAUUGUUGCAGUUAAAAAGCUCGUAGUUGAAUUUCUGCUGCAUUGCUUGUGUCCCUCUGGGGUCUGUGCAUGUGGCUUUUUUCGGACGGAGUUUCUUUGUCUGAAUGUUUACUUUGAGAAAAUUAGAGUGCUCAAAGCAGGCUUUCGCCUUGAAUAGUUUAGCAUGGAAUAAUAAAGUAGGACUUUGGUUCUAUUUUGUUGGUUUUAGGUACCAAAGUAAUGGUUAAUAGGAACAGUUGGGGGCAUUCGUAUUUAACUGUCAGAGGUGAAAUUCUUAGAUUUGUUAAAGACGAACUACUGCGAAAGCAUUUGCCAAGGAUGUUUUCAUUAAUCAAGAACGAAAGUUAGGGGAUCGAAGACGAUCAGAUACCGU